RNAcentral lists this ribosomal RNA (359 nucleotides) under Eleutherodactylus sisyphodemus (Quick Step robber frog). RNAcentral's name for it is "partial 12S ribosomal RNA". It matches the Rfam family "Bacterial small subunit ribosomal RNA", at positions 871 to 1384 of the family's 1533-position model. Lineage: Eukaryota; Metazoa; Chordata; Amphibia; Anura; Eleutherodactylidae. The record is from RNAcentral.
GUCAGGGAAUUACAAGCAAAGCUUAAAACCCAAAGGACUUGACGGUGCCCCAUCUCCCCCUAGAGGAGCCUGUCUAAUAAUCGAUAAUCCCCGCUUAACCUCACCACAUCUUGCUUUUCAGCCUGUAUACUUCCGUCGCAAGCCUACCACAUGAGCGAACCUAGUUAGCCCAAUGUUCACACAUAAAUGUGCUUAUAUCAACAACACGUCAGGUCAAAGUGCAGCAAACGAUGUGGGAUAAGAUUGGCUACACUUUUUAAUUUAGAAGAAACGGAAAACAAAAUGAAACUUUGUCAGAAGGUGGAUCUAGCAGUAAAAGAAAGAUAUUAAAUUUCUUUAAACUCGGCAUUGGAGCGUGU